Molecule: ribosomal RNA, 232 nt
Filed under: uncultured bacterium
Lineage: Bacteria
Description: partial 16S ribosomal RNA
Rfam family: Bacterial small subunit ribosomal RNA
Source: RNAcentral
CGGACGGGUGAGUAAUGUCUGGGAAACUGCCUGAUGGAGGGGGAUAACUACUGGAAACGGUAGCUAAUACCGCAUAACGUCGCAAGACCAAAGAGGGGGACCUUCGGGCCUCUUGCCAUCGGAUGUGCCCAGAUGGGAUUGGCUAGUAGGUGGGGUAAAGGCUCACCUAGGCGACGAUCCCUAGCUGGUCUGAGAGGAUGACCAGCCACACUGGAACUGAGACACGGUCCAG